This 445-nucleotide ribosomal RNA is filed under the name uncultured bacterium. Its description in RNAcentral is "bacterial SSU rRNA". It matches the Rfam family "Bacterial small subunit ribosomal RNA", at positions 29 to 519 of the family's 1533-position model. The record is from RNAcentral.
AACGAACGCUGGCGGCAGGCUUAACACAUGCAAGUCGAGCGCCCACUUCGGUGGGAGCGGCAGACGGGUGAGUAACACGUGGGAAUCUACCCAUCUCUACGGAACAACUCCGGGAAACUGGAGCUAAUACCGUAUACGCCCUUUGGGGGAAAGAUUUAUCGGAGAUGGAUGAGCCCGCGUUGGAUUAGCUAGUUGGUGGGGUAAAGGCCUACCAAGGCGACGAUCCAUAGCUGGUCUGAGAGGAUGAUCAGCCACACUGGGACUGAGACACGGCCCAGACUCCUACGGGAGGCAGCAGUGGGGAAUAUUGGACAAUGGGCGCAAGCCUGAUCCAGCCAUGCCGCGUGAGUGAUGAAGGCCCUAGGGUUGUAAAGCUCUUUCACCGGUGAAGAUAAUGACGGUAACCGGAGAAGAAGCCCCGGCUAACUUCGUGCCAGCCGCCGCC